UCUAAACUCAACCACGCAUGACUCUGCUCCGUUCCGAGAAUGGCAGGGGCUCCCUCCUUGGCCAGCCUUUGGCCGUUGAACGGACAGACACACAGAUGCAAGUGUGUCCGGAAUUGGUGGGUUCUUGGUCUCACUGACUUCAAGAAUGAAGCCACGGACCCUCACAGUUCCUGGUCUCACUGGCUCAGGAGUGAAGCUGCAGACCUUGGCGGUGAGUGUUACAGCUCAUAAAAGCAGUGUGGACCCAAAGAGUGAGCAGUAGCAAGAUUUAUUGCAGAGUCAAAGAACAAAGCUUCCACACUGUGGAAGGGGACCCGAGCGGGUUGCCACUGCUGGCUGGGGCAGCCUGCUUUUAUUCUCUUAUCUGGCCCCACCCACAUCCUGCUGAUUGGUAGAGCCCAGUGGCCUGUUUUGACAGGGCGCUGAUUGGUGCGUUUACAAUCCCUGAGCUAGACAUAAAGACUCUCCACGUCCCCACCAGACUCAGGAGCCCAGCUGGCUUCACCGAGUGGAUCCCCCACAGGGGCUGCAGGUGGAGUUGCCUGCCAGUCGCGUGCCGUGCGCUUGCACUCCUCAGCCCUUGGGUGGUCAAUGGGACUGGGCACCAUGGAGCAGGGGAUGGUGCUCCUCAGGGAGGCUCCCGCCGCACAGGAGCCCAUGGAGUGGGUGGGAGGCUCAGGCAUAGCGGGCUGCAGGUCCCGAGCCCUUCCCGGCGGGAAGGCAGCUAAGGCCCCGUGAGAAAUCGAGUGCAGCGCCGGUGGGCUGGCACUGCUGGGGGACCCAGUACACCCUCUGCAGCCACUGGCCCGGGUGCUAAAUCCUUCAUUGCCCAGGGCUGGCAGGGCCUGCCGGCUGCUCUGAGUGCGGGGCCGCCAAGCCCACGCCCACCCGGAACUCCAGCUGGCCCUCAAGCGCGGGGCGCAGCCCCGGUUCCCACUCGCGCCUCUCCCUCCACACCUCCCUGCAAGCUGAGGGCGCGGCUCUGGCCUUGGCCAGCCCAGAAAGGGGCUCCCACAGUGCAGCGGUGGGCUGAAGGGCUCCUCAAGUGCCGCCAAAGUGGGAGCACAGGCAGAGGAGGCACUGAGAGUGAGCAGAGCGAGCGAGGGCUGUGAGGACUGCCAGCACGCUGUCAUCUCUCAAAACUGCUUCUUACAUAAAAAAUGACAGAUUCUUCCUUUGAUUCUGAACAAGUACACAUUACCUCUGUGGAGAUAGCAUCAGGAAGUUAUAUUUUUCAAUUUUUAUUUUAUACUAACAGAAUGUGUUAAUUUUGUAAUGAAACUAUAACAGAAGAAGCUAUAGAAGAAAAAUCUUGAUCUUGAAAUAAAGAGAAACAUAAUGAAACUAAUUUUAUAAAUAUGGAGACUGGCAAACACAAAAAUUAAAAAUUUCUCUUG
This is a long non-coding RNA of Pongo pygmaeus (Bornean orangutan), 1397 nucleotides long. RefSeq lists it as uncharacterized. The transcript has 3 exons. NCBI's taxonomy places the organism in Eukaryota, Metazoa, Chordata, Mammalia, Primates, Hominidae. The record is from RefSeq and is a predicted model, not a curated record.